RNAcentral lists this ribosomal RNA (443 nucleotides) under uncultured bacterium. RNAcentral's name for it is "partial 16S ribosomal RNA". It matches the Rfam family "Bacterial small subunit ribosomal RNA", at positions 338 to 795 of the family's 1533-position model. The record is from RNAcentral.
CCUACGGGAGGCAGCAGUGGGGGAUAUUGGACAAUGGGGGGAACCCUGAUCCAGCGACGCCGCGUGAGUGAAGAAGUAUUUCGGUAUGUAAAGCUCUGUCAGCAGGGAAGAAAGAAAUGACGGUACCUGACCAAGAAGCCCCGGCUAACUACGUGCCAGCAGCCGCGGUAAUACGUAGGGGGCAAGCGUUAUCCGGAAUUACUGGGUGUAAAGGGAGCGUAGACGGUUAAGUAAGUCUGGAGUGAAAGGCCGGGGCCCAACCCCGGGACUGCUCUGGAAACUAUUGAACUUGAGUGCAGGAGAGGUAAGCGGAAUUCCUGGUGUAGCGGUGAAAUGCGUAGAGAUUAGGAGGAACACCAGUGGCGAAGGCGGCUUACUGGACUGUAACUGACGUUGAGGCUCGAAAGCGUGGGGAGCAAACAGGAUGAGAUACCCGGGUAGUC